This is a non-coding RNA of Rhizopogon salebrosus TDB-379, 75 nucleotides long. NCBI's taxonomy places the organism in Eukaryota, Fungi, Basidiomycota, Agaricomycetes, Boletales, Rhizopogonaceae. The record is from the annotation of a GenBank genome assembly.
GGCCGGAUGGUCUGAUUGUUAAGACGUCCCUGCCGGAUAGUCGGGAAGGCUUAGGUUCAAUUCCUAGUCCCGCCA